UUGAACGCUGGCGGCAGGCCUAACACAUGCAAGUCGAGCGGUUGAGGUAGCUUGCUACCGAUGCAGCGGCGGACGGGUGAGUAAUACAUGGGAAUCUGCCUGGUAGUGGGGGACAACGUUUCGAAAGGAACGCUAAUACCGCAUACGCCCUACGGGGGAAAGGGGGGGAUCUUCGGACCUCUCGCUAUCAGAUGAGCCCAUGUCGGAUUAGCUUGUUGGUGAGGUAAAGGCUCACCAAGGCGACGAUCCGUAACUGGUCUGAGAGGAUGAUCAGUCACACUGGAACUGAGACACGGUCCAGACUCCUACGGGAGGCAGCAGUGGGGAAUAUUGGACAAUGGGCGCAAGCCUGAUCCAGCCAUGCCGCGUGUGUGAAGAAGGCCUUAGGGUUGUAAAGCACUUUCAGUGGGGAGAAAGGUAAUUCACUUAAUACGUGAGUUAAUUGAUGUUACCCACAGAAGAAGCACCGGCUAACUCCGU
Molecule: ribosomal RNA, 480 nt
Filed under: uncultured bacterium
Lineage: Bacteria
Description: bacterial SSU rRNA
Rfam family: Bacterial small subunit ribosomal RNA
Source: RNAcentral